This is a small nuclear RNA of Pongo abelii (Sumatran orangutan), 108 nucleotides long. Lineage: Eukaryota; Metazoa; Chordata; Mammalia; Primates; Hominidae. The record is from Ensembl.
CAUGCUCGCUUCGGUAACACAUAUUAUACUAAAAGUGGAGCGAUCCAGAGGUUAGCAUGGGCCCUGUGCAAGGAUGACAUGCAAAUUCGUGAAGCAUUCCAUAUUUUU